GCCUACGAUCUCUAGCUGGUCUGAGAGGAUGAUCAGCCACACUGGAACUGAGACACGGUCCAGACUCCUACGGGAGGCAGCAGUGGGGAAUAUUGGACAAUGGGCGAAAGCCUGAUCCAGCCAUGCCGCGUGAACGAUGAAGGCCUUAGGGUUGUAAAGUUCUUUUGUCAGGGAAGAUAAUGACGGUACCUAAAGAAUAAGCACCGGCUAACUUCCUGCCAGCAGCCGCGGUAAUACGAAGGGUGCUAGCGUUGUUCGGAAUCACUGGGCGUAAAGCGCGCGUAGGCGGCGAUACAAGUCAGAGGUGAAAGCCUGGAGCUCAACUCCAGAACUGCCUUUGAAACUGUAUUGCUAGAGUGUCGGAGGGGAUAGCGGAAUUGCUAAUGUAGAGGUGAAAUUCGUAGAUAUUAGCAGGAACACCGGUGGCGAAGGCGGCUAUCUGGACGACAACUGACGCUGAGGCGCGAAAGCGUGGGGAUCAAACAGGAUUAGAUACCCUGGUAGUCCACGCUGUAAACGAUGGGUGCUAGCCGUUGGGGGGAUACCUCUCAGUGGCGCAGCUAACGCGUUAAGCACCCCGCCUGGGGAGUACGGUCGCAAGAUUAAAACUCAAAGAAAUUGACGGGGACCCGCACAAGCGGUGGAACAUGUGGUUUAAUUCGAGGCAACGCGAAGAACCUUACCAAGACUUGACAUGCCCUCUAUGGAGAACAGAAAUGAUCUCCUUCACCUCGGGUGGGAGGAGCACAGGUGCUGCAUGGCUGUCGUCAGCUCGUGUCGUGAGAUGUUGGGUUAAGUCCCGCAACGAGCGCAACCCUCAUCCUCUGUUGCUAACAGGUAAUGCUGAGAACUCUGAGGAAACUGCCGGUGAUAAGCCGGAGGAAGGUGGGGAUGACGUCAAGUCCUCAUGGCCCUUACGUCUUGGGCUACACACGUGUUACAAUGGCGGUGACAAUGGGCUGCAAACCCGCAAGGGUAAGCGAAUCUCAAAAAGCCGCCUCAGUUUGGAUUGUACUCUGCAACUCGAGUACAUGAAAUUGGAAUCGCUAGUAAUCGCGGAUCAGCACGCCGCGGUGAAUACGUUCCCGGGUCU
RNAcentral lists this ribosomal RNA (1093 nucleotides) under uncultured bacterium. RNAcentral's name for it is "bacterial SSU rRNA". It matches the Rfam family "Bacterial small subunit ribosomal RNA", at positions 272 to 1381 of the family's 1533-position model. The record is from RNAcentral.